GAUGAAAUGGCCGAGAUUAGGCAAUAAAUUGUAAAUUUAUGUACGAAAAUUUCUUUCUUUCAUC
This 64-nucleotide transfer RNA is filed under the name Chrysolina herbacea. RNAcentral describes it as "tRNA-Tyr". The record is from RNAcentral. Lineage: Eukaryota; Metazoa; Arthropoda; Insecta; Coleoptera; Chrysomelidae.